UAAGUUAGUAGUGAAAGCGUGGGGCUCAACCUCAUAUCCAUUACUAAAACUACUUUGGCUAGAACAUGAGAGAGGUGGCUGGAAUUCCCUGUGUAGGAGUGAAAUCCGUAGAUAUAGGGAGGAACACCGAUGGCGUAGGCAGGCCACUGGCUCAUCGUUGACGCUCAGGCACGAAAGCGUGGGGAGCGACCGGGAUUAGAUACCCCGUUAGUCCACGCCGUAAACGAUGGAUGCUA
RNAcentral lists this ribosomal RNA (236 nucleotides) under uncultured Candidatus Saccharibacteria bacterium. RNAcentral describes it as "partial 16S ribosomal RNA". It matches the Rfam family "Bacterial small subunit ribosomal RNA", at positions 584 to 818 of the family's 1533-position model. Lineage: Bacteria; Candidatus Saccharimonadota. The record is from RNAcentral.